RNAcentral lists this transfer RNA (61 nucleotides) under Scorpiops jendeki. Its description in RNAcentral is "tRNA-Thr". It matches the Rfam family "tRNA". Rfam says of the family: Transfer RNA (tRNA) molecules are approximately 80 nucleotides in length. The record is from RNAcentral. Lineage: Eukaryota; Metazoa; Arthropoda; Arachnida; Scorpiones; Euscorpiidae.
GUCUUAAUAGUUUAAUUAAAAUAUUAGUUUUGUAAACUAAGGAUGAAAUUUUCUUAAGACU